Molecule: transfer RNA, 69 nt
Filed under: Pseudanoplocephala crawfordi
Lineage: Eukaryota; Metazoa; Platyhelminthes; Cestoda; Cyclophyllidea; Hymenolepididae
Description: tRNA-Gly
Source: RNAcentral
UAUGUUGUUAGUAUAAUUAGUAUGCUAUUUUUCCAAGAUGGUGGUCUAGUGUUUGUUUAGGCGACAUAG